RNAcentral lists this ribosomal RNA (253 nucleotides) under uncultured bacterium. Its description in RNAcentral is "partial 16S ribosomal RNA". It matches the Rfam family "Bacterial small subunit ribosomal RNA", at positions 524 to 776 of the family's 1533-position model. The record is from RNAcentral.
GUCAGAGGCCUCAAGCGUUAGGCGGAAUCACUGGGCUUAAAGCGUGUGUAGGCGGAUCGUUAAGUGUCUUGUGAAAUCCCACGGCUCACCCGUGGAACUGCUGGGCAUACUGGCGAUCUUGGGCCAACUAGGGGCAGCCGGAACAAGCGGUGGAGCGGUGAAAUGCGUAGAUAUCGCUUGGAACGCCGAAGGUGAAAACAGGCUGCUGGGGUUGCGCCGACGCUGAGACACGAAAGCCAGGGGAGCAAACGGG